GCGGAUCCGCGGCCGCUGCAGAGUUUGAUCCUGGCUCAGGACGAACGCUGGCGGCGUGCCUAACACAUGCAAGUCGAACGGGGUUUAAGAGGAAGCUUGCGAAUCUUAAACCUAGUGGCGCACGGGUGAGUAACGCGUGGAUAACCUGCCUGGUAGACCGGGAUAACAGCUGGAAACGGCUGCUAAUACCGGAUACGCUCUGGAUGUUGCAUGACAUACAGAGGAAAGAUUUAUCGCUAUCAGAUGGGUCCGCGUCCCAUUAGCUAGUUGGCGGUGUAAGAGACCACCAAGGCGACGAUGGGGAGCUGGCCUGAGAGGGCGACCGGCCACACUGGGACUGAGACACGGCCCAGACUCCUACGGGAGGCAGCAGUGGGGAAUCUUCCGCAAUGGGCGAAAGCUAGACGGAGCAACGCCGCGUGAGGGAAGAAGGCCUUCGGGUUGUAAACCUCUGUCUUCAAGGAAGGAGAGAUGACGGUACUUGGAGAGGAAGCCCCGGCUAACUACGUGCCAGCAGCCGCGGUAAAACGUAGGGGGCGAGCGUUGUCCGGAAUUACUUGGACGUAAAGGGCGCGUAGGUGGUUCAUUAAGUUAGAGGUGAAAGACCGCAGCUUAACUGGGGGAAUG
Molecule: ribosomal RNA, 627 nt
Filed under: uncultured bacterium
Lineage: Bacteria
Description: partial 16S ribosomal RNA
Rfam family: Bacterial small subunit ribosomal RNA
Source: RNAcentral